AAAUUGGAACUAAAAGUGAAAAAUUUCAUGUGGUAUCUUCAUAGGGGAGUUGUGUUAACCAAAAACGACCUCGCAAGGCGCAACUGGCAAGGGAGUAAGAAGUGUUGUUUUUGUACUCAUGACGAGACAAUCAAACAACUCUUUUUCCAAUGCAAGUUUGCACAUUCUACGUGGUCAGUCAUCCGAACAGCGUUGAAUUUGUAUCCACCCAAAAACGUUGCCAAUAUUUUUUAUCAUUGGUUGAACGGUAUUUCAAAUAGGUUCAAAACGUUAAUAAGGAUGGGAGUGUAUGCCUGA
Molecule: ribosomal RNA, 297 nt
Filed under: Triticum aestivum (bread wheat)
Lineage: Eukaryota; Viridiplantae; Streptophyta; Magnoliopsida; Poales; Poaceae
Description: partial small subunit ribosomal RNA
Source: RNAcentral